ACGGCGGCCGUAACUAUAACGGUCCUAAGGUAGCGAAAUUCCUUGUCGGGUAAGUUCCGACCUGCACGAAUGGCGUAAUGAUGGCCAGGCUGUCUCCACCCGAGACUCAGUGAAAUUGAACUCGCUGUGAAGAUGCAGUGUACCCGCGGCAAGACGGAAAGACCCCGUGAACCUUUACUAUAGCUUGACACUGAACAUUGAGCCUUGAUGUGUAGGAUAGGUGGGAGGCUUUGAAGUGUGGACGCCAGUCUGCAUGGAGCCGACCUUGAAAUACCACCCUUUAAUGUUUGAUGUUCUAACGUGGACCCGUUACCCGGGUUGCGGACAGUGUCUGGUGGGUAGUUUGACUGGGGCGGUCUCCUCCUAAAGAGUAACGGAGGAGCACGAAGGUUGGCUAAUCCUGGUCGGACAUCAGGAGGUUAGUGCAAUGGCAUAAGCCAGCUUGACUGCGAGCGUGACGGCG
Molecule: ribosomal RNA, 463 nt
Filed under: Salmonella enterica
Lineage: Bacteria; Pseudomonadati; Pseudomonadota; Gammaproteobacteria; Enterobacterales; Enterobacteriaceae
Description: partial 23S ribosomal RNA
Rfam family: Bacterial large subunit ribosomal RNA
Source: RNAcentral